CCCUCUGCUUUACUCCACAUCGUACCUACCAACCUUUCUCUAAUCAUUUAGCUCGUCAUUGUAUCCAUAUCGUAACAACUUGCAUCCCAUUCAAAUUCAUUCCCUGAUCUGGAUUGCCCCUUUGUUCUCCCUUUUGGAUUCAUGGGGUGCGUAUGGUUAGUUUAAAUUUUCUUCAAUUUAUUAUGCACAGAAGGUGUUUGUCAGAUUGUCUAUGUGAUGUUUUGUAGCUAUUCACUUAAUGUGAAUUCUACUUUGCAAAAUUAAUUCCUCUAGAAUACUUUUGUUGCAUUUAUCUUCUAGGUCACCAGCAAUUUAGCACUAGACAGGACAUGAGGUUGUUCUCCCUGGUGGAUAAAUUAGCAUGUCACAUGCUACUCAAAUUUUUUGUAUGGUGCAAUGGACUCUAGAGCUGUAGCAUGUAGAUCCUAAUCAGUCAUGUAUUGACUAGAAGAUGUAAAUGCUGCUCUAUUGAUUAGCAGAUAGGUUGUUCUAUUUCAGAAACCAUGUCACAGCUCAAACGUGAGUUAUCCCUGUGUCAAAUGUUUUUUGUUCUCCUCUAUUUUUCCCACAAGAUUGUAGGAAUAUUCAGAACAACUAACCAUUGAUAGCACUCAGUUCACCGUAAGAUUGAAUGAAUAUUCAGAACUAACUAUUGAUAUUUUCCUUGUAUGGUUUGGUAUGUUUUGAAGGGCAAUACAGAUAUAAUUUUGACAUAUCUCCUUGGUAUGGUAUAGAGGCACAGAGGGAUCCAGCAAAUUGUUGUCUUGGUAUUUUCUUUGUUGAUUACUAGUUCAAGUUUGCAGUAAUGAGUUGAUUGAGAAGUGUAGAACCCAUAGUUUGUUGGCUGAAGGAUACUUGUUCUUCAUACAAGACCUAUAUAUGUUGGCUGAGAGAUACCUGUUCGUAUAACUAGAGUUUAAUUUUUUUUUUUGAUAAACAAGUUGCGAUGACUUUUAUUUGUGAAUAUAACUAGAUGAGUUCCUGUUCAGAAUUCAGAUAUGCAACUUUUUUGUGUUUAGAGAUGUAAAGGUUCGGAUGUGCAAGCUUCUUAUUAAAGGGUGGAUGAGAGUGUCACUUCCAUAUUUGCAAUAUGAACUAGCCUUUAGUUACUUUUUUGGAAUCCUAUCAGUAUCCCAUCUUUUGAAAUUGCACGCAUUGAACUUAGGCAUGCACCAUUCAGUAUUGUUAUAUCUAUCUAUGUAGUAGCUGCUUUUACAGACUUAAGGUUCCUGGUUGUUACAAUUUAAUAUGGUGUUGGUAUGUUGCUAUUUCUGUUUCAGAGAGUCUACCUAUUGGGAAAUCCUAGGUUCAGUACUUUAUGGUGUUGUAUGUUGCUAUUUUUGUUCUUACGAUUUUCUGUUCUUGAUUUGCACAAGGAUGCUAAGACUGCCUCACCUGAAACUUUACUGCCAUCACACCAUCAACCACCAGCAAGACGCACAUGAAACAGUAAGUUGGAUGCUCUUGUGCUUGCAGCUGGCCUGUUCCACGAAGACCUCGAUCUAUGGCCUUUAGUGUGUAAAUUUUGUUUUAGUUUCAGAGUGCACACAUUUUACGUUCUGGAGCACAACAAUAAUUUUAUUUUGCAGCUUCUGCAAACAAAAUACAAGGCUUGCUGUUUUCACGGAACUUUGCAAUACAAUGAAUUUUCUCCUAACCAAAGCUUGGUGCUUUUUUUUAUCUCUUGGUGUCAACUUUGCAAUUUGGAUUUCAGGAAGUAAACUGUAACAAGCUGCAGGAGAUUUUUAUUUCAGAAAAUAAAAUUGAAGGAGAGCAAGGAGCUUGCUGCUGGCGCGUCUCGGAGGAAGGAGCAAGGAUCUGUAGCCGAUAAUGGCAGGCACAGCAGGGUUAGCUGCAUAGGAAAUAGGUUGUGAUAGCAAAGACUUAUUCCUAGAGCUGCAAAAUCUGUGUGUUGUAUUAGUAUUCGGUUCAGGCGAGAUGCCAAACUUGUUGACCCUGUUCUCUUCGUGGUUGCUGUCUCUUUGAUUCUAGGUUGUAAACCGUAGUGAUGUGUUUCCUCAGGUUUUUAAAUUUAGGGGCCUCAAUGACAACGAGAGCUAAUAUAAGGCAUUUCCUUAAGUUUUUGUGUUUCUUUA
Panicum virgatum (switchgrass) is the source of this 2096-nucleotide long non-coding RNA. RefSeq lists it as uncharacterized. Lineage: Eukaryota; Viridiplantae; Streptophyta; Magnoliopsida; Poales; Poaceae. The record is from RefSeq and is a predicted model, not a curated record. The transcript is spliced from 2 exons.